UGCACCAGACUCCUUUUG
Molecule: small nuclear RNA, 18 nt
Filed under: Arabidopsis thaliana (thale cress)
Lineage: Eukaryota; Viridiplantae; Streptophyta; Magnoliopsida; Brassicales; Brassicaceae
Description: snRNA_02654
Source: RNAcentral